RNAcentral lists this long non-coding RNA (844 nucleotides) under Chinchilla lanigera (long-tailed chinchilla). RNAcentral's name for it is "lncRNA (ENSCLAG00000025032.1)". Lineage: Eukaryota; Metazoa; Chordata; Mammalia; Rodentia; Chinchillidae. The record is from RNAcentral.
UACACGCGUGCAUGAAGGGAGUCGGAGAUCUGUGAAGCUGAUAACAGUGGUAACCGCCAAUGGAAUUAUGGAUGAUUUUCACUUUCUUCUUUAUACUUUUUAUUUUUCCAGUUGGGAAAAACCCCAGCACCAUUCAAAAGGAGAGAAGGAACGCCAUGGGUUUGAGACUUCCUGCCAGCCGCUCAGCUCCCACUCUGCUCUGGUCACCUCACCUUCCUGAACUUCAUCUGUUUGCUCAGCAAGAUGGGGUGCGAGGGUUGCAGUGAGGACAGAAAGAGGAGAGACUGAGGGUGCGGCACAGCAGGUCCCACACAUGGUAGGUGCUCACUACCCUGGCUGCCGACACUCAGUGCAGAGCCUGGGGAGACAGUGAGGCUUCCUGGUCCCGCACACGUGCUCUUGCCUGCCCUGUGCCCUUGUGCGCGUGCGUGCGAGCACACACACACACACACACACACACACACACACACACCGCGGUGCGCACAUGAGCGUGCUGUAACCUGCGUGGGGUGAGAGGAGAAAGCCCCAUCCCUGUCCAAGAUAAACACAGGAAGUGAAGAUCCCGGAGUGUCAGGGAAUGCACAGCUGGAAAGAAACAGGAUUGCCGGUCUGGGAUGCUCCUGACCCAGUGCUUGUCCUCGUGUGGAGAGAUUACAGCAGGGGCAGCGGCCACGCCCCAGAUGCCCACCUUCCUUGCUGGAGUCCUGGAUUCUGCUUCCCCUGUAGCCCACUGGAUCACAGGGGAGAGCUCCAUCAAAGCCACUCGGCCAGAGGCAGCUGCGUCUGGUCCAAAGCAGGGGCCCGCCCUUGGCUCCACGCUGCCCCACAGCACAUGCCAGGCUGA